GACUGGGUGGCCAAGUUGGCUAAGGCGUGAGACUGUUAUUUAAGGAUUUCAUCUAGAAUUUCUUCUGGCAUCUCAAGAUCGAGAGUUCGAGCCUCUCCCUGGUCG
Molecule: transfer RNA, 105 nt
Organism: Candida albicans SC5314
Lineage: Eukaryota; Fungi; Ascomycota; Pichiomycetes; Serinales; Debaryomycetaceae
Rfam family: tRNA
About the family: Transfer RNA (tRNA) molecules are approximately 80 nucleotides in length. Their secondary structure includes four short double-helical elements and three loops (D, anti-codon, and T loops).
Source: Rfam